AUUCAAAGAAGCUGCGCCAAGGAGAACUGGAUGAGCUCCAGCAGGAUAUGACGAAGCAGACGACGGGGAAAAAGAAGGCCAAAGCUCAGUCACACAUCCAACCACUGACUGUGGAGGAAGAUUCCAUGAACAACGGGAAGGAGAAGAAAAAGAAAAAGAAGAAUGUGGGAAAGAGGUUUUUCCAGUGGCUGUCCCGCAAACUCAUGUGUUGCAGUUGUUUAGAUGUUUAACAAACAUCACAAACAUACUCAUGCAUACACACACAUACACACGCAUUCUCUCUUUCUCGCUUUCUCUCUUUCU
Hypomesus transpacificus is the source of this 303-nucleotide long non-coding RNA. RefSeq lists it as uncharacterized. The record is from RefSeq and is a predicted model, not a curated record. Lineage: Eukaryota; Metazoa; Chordata; Actinopteri; Osmeriformes; Osmeridae. The transcript is spliced from 3 exons.